RNA transcript from Lycium barbarum (goji berry), 7390 nucleotides. RefSeq lists it as uncharacterized. Lineage: Eukaryota; Viridiplantae; Streptophyta; Magnoliopsida; Solanales; Solanaceae. The transcript is spliced from 3 exons. The record is from RefSeq and is a predicted model, not a curated record.
UUCCCCUUACUUAAUCGAUCGAGCCCAGUCCAAUAGGACUGACUUGACCCAAAUCUCAAACGACCCCUUAAGUUUGCAAAAAACACAAGCCAAACGACCCUUAUAGGUCUUAUUCGUUUGAGACGAAACCCUAGCCGCUCUUGUUUCUAUACGAUGCUUCGGUCAUCAACAGCCGAGAAUGACAAAUUUUUCAUGCGUUUUGCUUUUACACAAUCUCUGCGUGGUCAUUUGGGGUAAAGCAUUCAAUGCUUCACCCUCUCUCCACCGCAGCUCAAUCCAAACGAGGUAUAACCCCUUUUUUUUCUUUCACUUUUUUGCAUUUCUAAGGUCAAACGAGUACAACUCUUGAUGAGAUUUGUCUACUUCUCAUUUUUGAAUACUCAAUUUUUAUUGGUUGCUACUAGUUUGAGAGGGUAUUCAAGAGAGUUCCCCCAAAAAUCACUAGUCCCACAUCGAAAAUUAGGGUUUAGAUUUUUAGAUUUGGGGUUCUAUAAUAGAACCCCAUAUCUUACAAUUUCGACACACCUUCACUGUAUACAUACACAGAAAUAUAUCUACACAUUGACAUAUUCAAAAACUUGAAUUAUCUAGGAUUUUAGCACUUUGCUAAGAUCUUUAAUUAGUCAAGUUAUUUAAAAAAUUUAAUAUUUGUUUUGUUGAUUGUUGUGUGGCUGAGUUGGGGCUUGAGGAGCAAAAGAAGCUUCAAUUUCAUUCUCAACCAAGGGUUGCACUCCAAAAAGAUAAUUGCUUAUCCUUCGUAGUUUAGUUUUUUAGUUGUUUAUGUGAUUAUGUCGUCAGUCGCCACACAACUGCUAUAACUUUACAAAUAUAUGUUCUUAAUUUCCUUAUAUUCCUUAAUCCCUUUAAUUGGGCCAAGAAUAUUUUCGUAUAAAAAAAAAUAUGAGCUAGAAGACAAAUGUAGAAAACCCUCAAAGUUCAUGAUGGUAAGUGUACCAAAAGAGAAAGGGAGAGAAAAACAGAUAAAAUGUACACAUGUUAUAAGAUAGGAGUAGUGUAAUAUAGGCCCUGAUCGACGACAUUGCUUCAGAGUUCAAUAACAUGCAUUUUAUUUCCUUGUGUAUGAUUUGAUUAAUCGCUGGUGGCUUUUCAACGUAGUACUCUCUCUACGCACUCGCUUAUGUCCAAUAUCUUCAUUUAAUGAAAAAAAUUCCUUUCUACAAAAUAGAAUCGAGGAGCUUGGAGGCAUAAGUACUAUUACUGCGCCUUUUUAUAUGAAUGCCUUGAAUCUUGAUAUACAAGUACUAUAGCUUUAUUGCACAAAGAUGAUGUACAAUAAAACACAUUGCAUUCUGCCAAUUAUUAUUUCUUGAUCGAUCAUCUCGUCCUUCCUUGCCAAGAAAAAAUGAAAUCCAUGUUCUUUAAUUUCCAGCUAGAAUAUUGACCUUAUUGUCCAUGCAUAGUUCAAUUCGAUCGAUCCUAGCUAGCUAUAAAACAAGUUCAAUGUUUUUAAAACUCCAGUAUCUAUCCUACGAUUUUGCCUAUAUACAUCCAAUAGCUUCUACCUAAUUGAUAAUUUUUAUUUUUGUGCUAGCUAAGUUCACUUGAUUUCUAUUUUUGUGACUUCACAAAAUGGACAUGCAACUGCAAAAGAAUUGAGGAAUAUAUAUUUUAUAUCAUAGAUCUGCCGUCCAGUUCCAGUAUAAUGCUUCAUUAGACAAACUGUGUGACACUUCAAUUUUCUCUUCAUAAAUAAAAUAAAAUAAAAUAUACAAAGAUAUGAAAAGAUUCAAUAGAAGAUAUAAUUACGUAGACAAAAUUAUGACUCGUUUUUCUUAAUACAAGAAAUUGGCCAGCAUAAGUUAAAACUAGGAUUUCCAGUAAGUGAAAUGGUGCUGUUGUUUUCCGGUGAAAUCGGGUUUAAUCAAAAAAUCAGUUAGAGAUUUGUUUUAUAAGGGUUUGAAGACAAGUGAGAUGUAUCUAACCCCGAGAAAUCCUUUUAUGAGCCCGGUCCGGAAAAGUUUAGAUCGUGAUCCAAUCUAAUGAACAACAAAAGUAAUAUAAUAUGACUAAAAUAGAUAAAAAUGAUCAGAAAGUAAUGAUUCCGUGUAUAUACUAAGUUCUUUUAAGAGUAGAAUGAUGUUUACAAGAAUGAGUGUGGGAAAAAAGAUGCUCCCUUUCUUCUCUCCAAAGAUUCCUUAUAUAAGCCACAACAAGUCUUUUCAAACCAUAAUGUUCGGGUGAUGUGAUGCGACGAUGUGGCCCAAUGUGUGCCUCUGCCACGACACACUGAUCGAGGUCUGCGGACAUGACCCGAGUUGGUGGGAGUGGAGGACAGUUGUGUGGAUACCCCGAACUCUCCAAGCUUCCAGUUCCGAAGGCUCGCUCGGAUACGCAUUUUAUCCAUUGUGCCUUCCUUCUUCCCCAAGCUAGGUCUAUCUAAGCCACUCCUCCACUUUUCAUAAUUCCCAAGGUGCAGUGACGUGAUCUUUCUGCCAUCCCAACGUAUAUAUAUUCUUGCAGUGGCACUCUGACCGAUGAUUGCUGAUGUGACGGGAGUUGGUGAGAAUGGGAACCAACUGAACAAUGCUUGUGACCAUAAUGAGUACCCGGGUCCGAACACGCUUUUAACCCCAUACAAUAGUAGUCAGGUAUUGUAACAGAUUUUUUUCCUAUCUAGUAGCUAAAUAGAAAUUCUUCCAUAUAAAAUUAAUGCUCAUGCUGUGUUUUACUACUUCUACAGUACUACUACUCUAUAAAUUUAAUUACUCUCUUCGUCCCAAUCUGAGUGUUAGCAUUUGUCUGGACACAAAAUUUAAGAAAAAAAUGUUUUUUUUUAAAAAAUUUGUGAUCUAAAAUUAGUCUUAAAUUUGUAUAGUUAUAAAAUAUCAUAAGUAUUACUCCUUCUACAUCAAAAAGAGUGUCCACUUAUUAAAUCAAGAAUUAACCUUAUCUUUCCAGAUUUACCGCUAUUAAGUGCUAUGUGAUCAAAUCCCAAUACCAAUUUAAUUAGGGGCAGUUUAGCUAAAUUACCUAUUUUUGUCUAGGAGUUGAUAUUUUCUUAAGGGCUGUACAAAUGACUAAGUGAACACUAUUUUUGAUCCAGAGGGAGUACUUUAUUUCAGGAUAGAUUAAAAUAGAAAUUGUAUCACAUAAAUUGCUCCGAGGAAGGAGCCCGGAACUUUUUUAACCCAAAAAAUAAAUUUUGGAACCAAACUAACUCUUUUAAAAAAAAAGAACCAAACUAGGCUUCACACACAGAAUCUAUGCGUGAAAGGGCCAAAGUGUAUGAAAUCCUCUAUCCCCUGACCCCAACCUUUAUUCUUUGGAAAUCAAACUCAAAAUUAAGCUUUUUUCCGUACUUUGACCGAAGAUUAGUCACGUUUCAAAACACCGGAAUAUAAAUAUUUUAUAUAGAACUUUUUUUUAGCGUACAAUAAUAUCGGCUCAUUACAUCAAGUAUAGUUGUUUGAAUUUAAUUCAUAUUGCGCAACAUUUCAAUGCGCAAUAUAACAUGAUUUGACAACACAUCAUAGUUGAAAAUUACAGCUUUUUUAUCACACAUAAAGGACCGAUUUGACAACACAUCAUGCAUGCCAAUUUCAGUUUUUUUGUGACACCCAUGCUUGAUUUGACAAUACAUCAUGCAUGCCAAUUUCAAUUUUUUUAUGACACAUAAAGGACCGAUUUGACAAUACAAUGCUGCAUGUUUUGACCGUUUUAUUUGAAUUUAAUUCAUAUUGCGCAACAUUUCAAUGCACAAUAUAACAUGAUUUGACAACACAUCAUGGUUGAAAAUUACAGCUUUUUUAUCACACAUAAAGGAACGAUUUGACAACACAUCAUGCAUGCCAAUUUCAGCUUUUUUAUGACCCCCAUACUUGAUUUGAUAAUACAUCAUGCAUGCUAAUUUCAGCUUUUUAAUGACACAUAAAAGACCGAUUUGACAAUACAAUGCUGCAUUUUUUGACCGUUUUAUUUGAAUUUAAUUCAUAUUGUGCAACAUUUCAAUGCACAAUAUAACAUGAUUUGACAACACAUUAUGGUUGAAAAUUACAGCUUUUUUAUCACACAUAAAGGACCGAUUUGACAACACAUCAUGCAUGCCAAUUUCAGCUUUUUAAUGACACAUAAAGGACCGAUUUGACAAUACAAUGCUGCAGUUUUUGACCGAUUUGACAAUACAAGGCAUGGAAUGACGAAAAUAGUGACUAUUGCGCAACAUUUCAAUGCGCAAUAGGGGUCAAUAUGAAUUUAUUUAAGAAGAAUGUUGGACGAGGUAAAAACUCAUCCAUUUCAUAAGUCUCUUAAGUCAUUCAAAAAAACCUCUCUUAAGUCAUUCAAAAAAAAAAUAAAAAAAAAUCAAUCUUCAUUCAAAAAAUGGCUCAAGAUAUUCCACCAGUUAGUGUUUCACUACAUUGGGAUGGUAUUAUCCUUUAUGACAAUAGUACAGUUUGUUACAAUAAAAGACCAAACGUUCAUGUUAAAUGUCCACUUGAAAUGUCUUAUGAAUCACUAGUCACUUACAUACAUGAAAAAAUGAACAUUAGUCCAGAUGAGUAUGAAAUCUCUAUAAAAGGCAGAUAUUCACAAUCAGUUUCCCAUGGUAUAGUGCUUUAUGGUAUGCAUUAUAUCAAUGGUGAUGAUUUUUUGAGGGAUUAUUUGAAUGCGCCAGAAGAAUAUAAACAUUUAGUCGCCAUUAAUGUUCUUGAGAUGUAUGUUGAAAAGAUACCCCAAGAGGUCCCCCAAGAACAGCCCAGUCAAGUUAACACUUAUGGAGAUAUUAGUUCUUACGGGUACAUUUUGAGUGGCCAGGUGUCGCUGGAAAAUCUUACCCAACAAUUAAAUCAAACUUGGGGUUAUAGACCUGAUACGAGUAAUAUUGAGCAAUCAUCCCAAUUUAGUGGAGCAGCUCAUUAUUAUCAAAACUCUCAGUUCAGUGGAGCUGAUUAUUAUAAUAAUUCUCAGUUCGGUGCAGCUGAUUAUCUUCAAAACUCGCCAGUGGUACCAACUGUGGAUGUUGGGCAGUUCUUUUAGUUUGGUGGAGUUGAUCAUUCUCCACACCAUGCUCAUUCUCAAUAUGUGAGGAGGCCUUUCUUAGAUGGCGCUGAUUGUCCAAGUUAUGUGGAUACAUCAGAGAGUGAUGGUGAUGAACCAGCUAAUAAUGCAGAGGUAACCGAUGAUGAAGAAACGGAUGAUGAAGAUAGUGAACGGGAUGAAGAUACACAUUUUAGUCCCCAGAACCAACCACAACCAACUCACCAUCACGUACCACCUCCGAUGGCGGAAAACCCAAUUCCUGACAGCCCAAUGCAGUGGCAUUCUGACUAUAUUCCAUAUCUUGAUAGUCUACAAGGUCGUGAGGAUGCAUUUGUCUUCACAAGAGAUGAUGAUCAAAGUCGCCAAAAACGUGGAUUGAACCAAAAAAUCUCAUGACUGAUGAAUGCGUCCUUGCAAAGGGAAUGAUUUUCACAUCAAAAAAGGCGUUACAAUGGGCUGUCAAAAUGUAUUGUAUAAAGGAUAUGAGGGAGUUUAAGGUUGACGACUCAAACAAAUCGGUAUGGAGGCUGGUUUGUAAGCGAAAUACUCAAGGCUAUUGGUGGUUGCUUCGGGGAAUUGUUAAGCCUGAUGGUCUGUGGGAAAUCACAAAAUUCCACCCAAAGAAAACUUGUGAUAUGGGACAAACUCGAGCAGAUCAUUUUAAUUUAGAUAUAAACCUGAUUGCUCAUGUGUUACUUAAAGACAUUGAGGAAACUGCGAGGUAACUUAUCUGACCUAGUACGUUAUAUAUCUUAUAGCAAUUAAAAUAUCAUUGCUAAAUGUUAUUUGUUUAAACUUAUGCAAGAUGCCCAUCAAAACUUGUAUUAGCAUGGUCCACUCCAAAUAUGGUAAAAUCAUAAGCAAGAGAAAGGGAUUUCUUGGGCGUAGACGUGCUUUUGAGAUGAUCUUUGGAACUUGGGAGUCCUCUUUUAAGGCGUUGCCGGGGUAUAUGACAACUCUACAACAUGCUAAUCCUGACACUGUUUUACAGUGGCAGCUUUUAGAGGGCAGAAUUUUUGACUUCGUCUUUUGGGCAUUCAAACCAAGUAUUGAUGGUUUUGCUCACUGCCGGAAUGUGAUAUCGAUAGAUGAGACGCAUGUAUAUGGCCGAUAUGACAUUAAGCUUUUAAUUGCAGUAGGCAUGGAUGCCAAUGAGUCAAUAUUCCCUCUUGCUUUUGCAAUUGCCGCCAAUGAGAGCAACGAGACAUGGGGGAUGUUCUUGACUCAUCUAAAAACUCAUGUUAUUAUGGGUCGUCAGGGCAUAUGUGUCCUAUCGGAUCGCCAUAAAGGCAUAUUGCACAAUAUGCGUACUCUGGAAGGGUGGCAGCCUCCACAUGCUUACCAUCGAUAUUGUUUAAGGCACUUAAAGACUAAUUUGCAAACAAAGUUUGAAAAUGGCACUGUAAACAAAUUGAUGUGGGGGCUGCGAUGCAACAUCAACAAAGAAAAUGGGCUGCAAAAAUGGAGCUACUAAGGGAAGUGAGUGAAGAGGCAUAUGUUUGGUUGAUGAAAUUAGAAGUUGAAAAAUGGACGGUUUAUGCUGAUGGAGGAAGGAGAUGGGGCAUGCUCACAACGAACAACUAGGAGUCUUUCAAUGGACUCCUCAAAUCUACUCGAGGACUACCUGCCACCGCAAUUAUAAGACUAACUUUCAAGCAGGUCGUGGAGCGAUUUGCGGAUAGGACAAGGCAGGCCAGAGCCAUAUUAGCCGAGGACGAAACAUAGAUGCCAAAGCCCUACAAAAAGAUGGAGCACUAUAGAAGAAAGGCGAAGGGUCACCAAAUGGCCGAGUAUGACGUCGUUCAACGAGUGUAUGAAGUUAGAACGGUUUAUUACGACUGUAAAGGAGGAAACACACAUAUCGUUAUUGAGCGUACAAAAUCAUGCACUUGUGGUAAGUGGCAAAUGUUUCACAUGCCAUGUUCUCAUGCAGUCAAGUGCUUUGAGAGAAUGACCAGAAAUGUAACUGAUUAUGUGAUGGGGGAAUAUAAGGUCGUAAAUUACCUUGAAGCAUAUUCAAGCCACUUCCAUCCCCUUGGUAAUCAAGCUUAUUGGCCAGCCACGUUGUUUUCUAUGGUUGCGAACAAGAACCAUAUCCUUUAAUUGGGAAAAAACAAGCUAACCCGUUAUCACAAUCAAAUGGAUGUUAGCGAAAAGACUUACUCUCGCAAGUGCUCGACAUGUAAGCAAUUUGGGCAUGAUAAGCGUUUAUGUGGGCAAAACUCCCGUGGUGGCAGCACAUCUGGAAGUAGAAGAGUGUCUAAAACUUGAUUUUUUUUUUAAGUCUAUUGUAAUUUAAUGAUGUAUUUCGUUGCUAAUGAAAUGUAAUAUUUUUCAAUUAUUAUGAAACUCUCGUAUUAGAUGAAUUAUUUUUAAAUAUUAUAUUUAUUUU